This 71-nucleotide transfer RNA is filed under the name Rhizobium leguminosarum bv. viciae. RNAcentral's name for it is "tRNA-Gln". It matches the Rfam family "tRNA". Rfam says of the family: Transfer RNA (tRNA) molecules are approximately 80 nucleotides in length. The record is from RNAcentral. Lineage: Bacteria; Pseudomonadati; Pseudomonadota; Alphaproteobacteria; Hyphomicrobiales; Rhizobiaceae.
CGGGGCGCGGGUCUGUGAGGCAACGGUUUUUGGUACCGCCAUCCCUGGUUCGAAUCCAGGCGCCCCAGCCA